AACCAUGAGGUUGCUGGUUCGAUCCCUGGCCUUGCUCAGUGGGUUAAGGAUCCCGCUUUGCCGUGAGCCGUGGUGUAGGUUGCAGAUGCGGCUGGGAUCCCGCAUUGCUGUGGCUCUGGCAUAGGCCGGCAGCUACAGCUCUGAUUCGACCCCUAGCCUGGGAACCUCCAUAUGCCGUGCCAGCAGCCCAAGAAAUGGCAAAAAAAAAAAAAAAAAGAAAGAAAGUAUUUCUCUAGGGUAUCCUAGAAUAUGAAAAAAAAUUUUUUUCUACUAAAUAGCUAUGUGUCAUCCAAUCUUUGGACAAAAUUUGAUUUUACUUACUAUUUAUCAUGCCCAGUCUUAUUUUACCUUAAUGUCAGAUAGGUGGGUAGAUAGAUAGAUAAAUAGAUCGAUUGAUCUUAAUGUCAGGCAGGUAGAUAGGUAGGUACAUAGAUAUAUAUAUAUUUACAUUUAUAUUUUUUAAUUCUUAGCACUAAAAGGAGAAAGAUAUUUGGUAAUUUCUUUAAAGUAUGUUUUUUUCUAAAUUAUCAUAUAGCCAGGUUUUGCGUUUUAACUUUGUCUGGAACACCCUCUAAGAGGAAUCCACUUAUCACUGUGUAGAGUGACAACUGAUGUACUUCAUUGGAUUUCUUCCAUAUAUACUUUAUAUUCAUGAUUUUAUUUUGUCAUUUGUUCUUUUCCCUUUCCUUUAUGUUUACUGAUUUGUUCAAUUACUAUUAAUUUCAUUUUUUAGUUUAUUUCCUUUUGUGUCUUGUUAAUAUGGAAAUGAUGUUUUUUUAUUUUAAUGCUUAUUAUCUAACACAUAUUUCUCCACAAUUAUAUGAAGGCUUUAAAAUGUUUUAAUUCCCCAUCCCAUUUCCCCCUCCCAAGUGAAGUCCUUAGGGUGCUUUUACUUUCCUUUACCCUCUUCCAACUCGAUUUUGCUGACAUAGUUCAAUACGCUUAGUUCUAUAUUUAUUAGAUUUUCCCCUUGCCAUAUGUCUCUUCUGUUUUAAGGAUCCUUACUUCAUAGUUGCCUUACAAAUUCCCACGCACACAAUCAUUAUCCAUUUAGUUUUAACGUGUAUCACAAGGCAAUAUAUUGAACUGUUUUCUAUUCAUCAUCUUCUGUCUUGAGAUUUCCAUUGUGAUUCAUAUGUUGUUUGGUUCAAGUACUUUCUUGAGUAUUUUCAUCAGAUGGGCUAUAGGAGUGGUAUUAUCUCUCAUUAUUGUAUAUCCACAAUUUUUUUUUCGUACAUGCAUGAUGUAUGAUAAACCUGAUUGGGCGUAGAAUUGUUUGUAGGCAAUCUUUUUCUCUCUGUCCUUAGUAUUCUACUCUCUUCCAGUUUCAAGUAUUACAGAUAAGAACUAAGAUGUCAAUCUGAUUCUUUUUCUUUGCUAAGUAACUCCUUCUUUCUUUCUAGAAAUUUGUAAUAUUUUCUCUUAAUCCUAAUAAUAUAGGAAUUUUAGCAAAAUAUGUCUAGUUGUAUGCCUUACUUUGAUUAAUCUACCUAGAACUUAGGGAGCCCUUUCACUCAUGUACUUAAUUCUUUGAAUCAGGGAAAUUAUGUUAUUUUUUUAUUCCUAACUUCCAUUUGUCUUUUUUCCCCUUUUUUUCUUUUUCUUGUAAUUAUUAUAGUCUUUACCUGAUAGUUCUCUUGGUGUUACUUUCCAAGUUUGUUUUUCCUGAUGAUUUCCCUCUUUGUACAUUUGUUCUAUAUUUUGAGAUAUUUGUUCCAGGAAGGCUCAACAAGUACAUACUUUAUUUCAGUUCUUCUAUUUAAAAACAACAACAACAACAACAACAAAACUAUUGUGGUAAGAUAUACAUGACUUAAGAUUUACCAUCUUAAUCAAAUUUUUAGUUAUUAUAAAGUAUUGGCUAUAUUGUCCAUGUUGUAUCCUUGUACCUGAUUUUAUACAUAAUAGCUGGUACCCCAUCCUCUACCUUCCCUAUAGUGCCCCUUCCCUCUCCCCACUGAUAAUCAUUAGUUUGUUCUCCAUUUCUAAAUUUAAAAAUCAGAUUUCCAAAUUCCAGAAUAUAUUUUAAAGCUGAGUAUUUUUAUUUUGUUAAUUUUUUUUUUUCUUUCUCCUCCAGCAAUUCCAGUCUACUAGGUACUUCUCAGGUCUCAAGGUUCUGUUUGCUCUUUCUUUCUCUGAUUAUUGGGAUGCCUUGUAUACAUUUUUAUUUUUCUCGCCUAAAAAUGUCUGUUUAACCUUUGAGUGGUGAGAGGCCUAACACUGUCUGCUCUGUGAUCUUAAAUAUACCAACUGGCAAGCUCAUUCACUAUUUCUUAAAGCAAUGAAGGAUUAUUUAGGUAAAGUUCUCCUUAGGAAUAGAGAAUAAGUCUGUCCAUCUUUAUAUCUGCGUGGAAGGGCUUCUGCAAACAUCAGCCACAACCCCUAGGACUGCAUACAUUACUCUACACUUACUUUUAACAAAGGCCAAGAUCUUUCGGGACCUAGGACUUUUGGUGAUAUUCUCUGGCCUGUCAGACACAGAUCCUCCAGUCUCUGUCAGUCCCACAAUGGCACAAAAUUGGGUUCUUGGUCCUUCUUUCCAGAAUCCCUGCAUAUCGCAUGGCCUUGCACAUUUUCUGAGCUGUCCAGUCACCAACCUGGUGCUCAUCCUAGGAAAGGCUACUAAAAUUGGGAGAUGAAAGCACCAGGGACACACUCUCAGGCAGCCACUUUCUCAACAGUUUAACUGAAAAUAACUUGUUUAAUUUUAAAUUUCAGCUUUUCCAGAGAACUAUAGACUCAUAGUCUUAAACGUAUUCCAGCUGUGAUAUGGUUUUCAAAUAAAGAACCAGAGACGAUCUAUAUUCUGCAUUUCAUUACAUUCAGAUUGAAUUUAUAACUUGAAGGACGGAGGGAAGAAAUGGUCCUAGACAAAUUUUAAGUAGAAAAAGAAGUAUGAAUUUUGGCUAAGAGAAAUUUUAGGAAAUUCGAUACUGACAAAGCUUACAAAUGAACAAAAUAGAUGGAGUGUGAUAAGACAGUGGUCUCCUUCUGGGUGCAUUUGUUGUGACCAACACCAAGGACUUGGAGUCUCCUUCCAGAAAACCUUUGUCCUGUAGCUCUCUUAAUAUCUCCUUUAUUAAACAGAAGUCAGUGAAGCAGCCCUUAGGUCAACAAAGUUACUUGACUAAAAUGUAAGGUUUUUAUCUAAUUGCUAAGACUUGCUUCUCCUUUUAAUUUCCUUUAAAGUCUCUGCCCAGGAUCUGUAAAUCCUCCUCUUUUUAACCAAAUGAUCUGUUCCUCCUGAUUUUCUCACUUAACAUAUAGCAUUUGCAUUCACACCUCAUAUACAUACAUAAUCCAUGCUAAGUGCAAUCUUUAUGAAACUUUUAUAAUGUUAUGCAAUACUAACUUUUUUAUUGUGAAACCCAUUCUGCACCUAAUUUUAAACCCACCCAUAUCUUGACCAUUAUUUCUGUUUUAUUCUGGGCUCCCUUCAACUAGGGCCAUUCUACUGUACUCCACAGAGACCUGCAUUACCCCUUUCUUGUUCUUUUGUGGUUAUCUCCCCUCUUCCUAGGGCAUCGUCCUUUCCCAUUUUGCCCUGCCCUUCCAGGUCCAUGUGUGAUGGAUAAAACUAUGUAUUAAUAUCAGAUUGUGAAUUGCAAAUUUUUAUCAAAAGAAUGAUUAAAAAGAAACUUUAAUCUCAAGUAAAAAUGGAAGACAAAAAUAAGACUAAUAAAAUGUAGUACCAGUAGCAGUAGUAACCUAAUAUUUACAGAUUUCCUACUGAGGCCUCAUGCACAAUGUCACAUGAGUUCUAAGACUUAUAUGUGUUUUUACACAUUUUAUUCUUGGGCAGUCCUGUGAGAUACUUCUACUAUUAUGAUGAUUUUACAAAUGUAAAAAAUGAGGCAUUUGAAAAGUAAAGACAUUUGUCCACAGUCGCAUUCAAAUCCAAGCAGUAUAACCAGAGAGUUCAGGUUUGUUUUUCAAUCAUAAUAUAGGAAGAUAUAUGUUUAUCAAAUAAUUUUAUUUAAUUCAUUAUGAAUAAAUCAAUUUUAAAAUGGCAUGUCCAUAUAAAUUUUCUGAAUGUAGCAUAUAGCUACAUGGCAGGACAUACCAAUAUAGUAGAAUGUUCCCUAAGUAAACAUAAUGAGGAAAUUUGUACAUAAAGGGAUUGUUGUGUUACCAAAGAAAUUUUACAAUAUUUUGUACUAUUUCUGUGAAAAAUGCCACUGGUAAUUUGAUAGCGAUUGAAUUGAAUCUCUAGAUUUCUUUGGGUAAUAUAAUCAUUUUGACAAUAUUGAUUCUUCCAUUCCAAGAGCAUGGCAUAUCUUUCAAUAUGUUUGUGUCAUCUUUGAUUUCUUUCAUUAGCAUCUAGGAGCUUUCAGAGUACAGGUCUUUCAUCUCUUUAAGUAGGUUUAUUCCUAGGUAUUUUAUUCUUUUUGAUGCCAUAGUAAGUAGAGUUGUUUCCCUAAUUUCUUUUUCUCAUUUUUCAUUGUUAGUAUAGAAAAAUCCAGUCAAUUUUUGUGCAUUAAUUUUAUAUCCUGCAACUUUACCAAAUUCAUUGGUGAGCUCUAACAGUUAACUAAUAGUGUCUUUAGGGUUUUCUAGGUAUAAUACCGCAUCAUCUGCAAACAUUGAUUGUUUUACUUCUUCCUUUCUUAUUUGGAUUCCUUUUUCUUCUCUGAUUGCUAUGGCUAGGACUUCCAAAACUAUGUUGAACAGAAGUGGCAAGAGCUUACAUCCUUGUCUUGUUCCUGAUUUUAUUGGGAAUUCUUUCAGCUUUUCACUGGGAAAACUGGACAGCUACAUGUAAAAGAAUGAAAUUAGAACACUCUCUAACACCAUACACAAAAUUAAAUUCAAAAUGGAUUAAAGACCUAAAUGUAAAACCAGAUACUAUAAAACUCUUAGAGGAAAACAUAGGCCAGACAUUCUCUGACGUAAACCACAGCAAUAUUUUCUCAGAUCCACCUAGAGUAAUGACAAUGGGAUAGAUUGGGAGCUUGGGGUUAAUAGAUGCAGACUAUUGCCUUUGAAAUGAUUGGCAAUGAGACCCUUCUAUGUAGCACUGGGAACUAUGUCUAGUCACUUAUGUUGGAGCAUGAUAAUGUGAGAAAAAAUAAUGUAUGCAUGCAUGUGUAACUGGGUCACCAUGCUGUACAGUAGAAAAAAAAAUGAUGUAUUGGGGAAAUAAAAAAAUAAAAAUAAAAUAAAAAAACAAAAAUAAACAAAAGGGGCAUAAUUAAAAGUUUUUGCAUAAAAAAGGAAAGCAUAAACAAAACAAAAAGACAACCCACAGAAUGAGAGAAAAUAUUUGCAAAUGAAGCAACUGGCAAGGGAUUAAUCACCAAAAUAUAUAAAC
This 5311-nucleotide long non-coding RNA is filed under the name Sus scrofa (pig). Its description in RNAcentral is "lncRNA (ENSSSCG00005012932.1)". Lineage: Eukaryota; Metazoa; Chordata; Mammalia; Artiodactyla; Suidae. The record is from RNAcentral.